UGGGGGAUAUUGCACAAUGGGCGAAAGCCUGAUGCAGCGACGCCGCGUGGGGGAUGAAGGCCUCCGGGUUGUAAACUUCUUUUGCUCUGAACAAGGCAUGCCUUUGGGGUGUGUUGAGUGUAGGGGUUGAUUAGCGCCGGCUAACUACGUGCCAGCAGCCGCGGUAAUACGUAGGGCGCGAGCGUUGUCCGGAAUUAUUGGGCGUAAAGGGCUUGUAGGUGGCUGGUUGCGUCUGUCGUGAAAGCUCAUGGCUUAACUGUGCGUUUGCGGUGGGUACGGGCUGGCUUGAGUGCAGUAGGGGAGGCUGGAAUUCCUGGUGUGGCGGUGGAAUGCGCAGAUAUCAGGAGGAAUACCGGUGGCGAAGGCGGGUCUCUGGGCUGUUACAGACGCUGAGGAGCGAAAGCGUGGGGAGCGAACAGG
RNAcentral lists this ribosomal RNA (420 nucleotides) under Fusobacteriota bacterium. Its description in RNAcentral is "Fusobacteria bacterium partial 16S ribosomal RNA". It matches the Rfam family "Bacterial small subunit ribosomal RNA", at positions 355 to 776 of the family's 1533-position model. The record is from RNAcentral. Lineage: Bacteria; Fusobacteriati; Fusobacteriota.